Molecule: long non-coding RNA, 510 nt
Organism: Alosa sapidissima (American shad)
Lineage: Eukaryota; Metazoa; Chordata; Actinopteri; Clupeiformes; Clupeidae
Exons: 4
Source: RefSeq, a predicted model, not a curated record
CGUUGGCAGAAUUGGCCCCCAGCUCAUUUGAGUUUGAGACCCCUGCUCUACGGCAUUUUUCAGCUGGCUGACCGAGUGGUGUGUGAGUCUGAGGACACCCCCUCACUGAACAUCUGCCAGAUGCCCUGCAGCGAUUUGAUUGAUGAUGAUAUCAGUGAUGACAUCGACUGUGUGAAGGAUUUGAAGAGAACCCACGAGAAAAUGAAAUUGGACCCAAAGCAGAAAUUCAUGGCCCUCGCCAUGAGAGCCAAAAUGAUGGCUAUGAUGUUCCCCAUGGAAUGCCGUUCUGUUGUUGCCGCUGACUACUUUGCCGAGUGCCAAACGGACUGAUGAGACGCAGGGCGAUCUCUUGUCCUUUCCUUGUGAUAUCCUGCUCACAAAUACAAUGUCCGUUACACAGUCUUGGUUCUGGUGUCUGUACCUGGACCAUGUGUAAUGUGGCUUCCAUCAGCUUCUGUCAUUCUAAAAUAAAAACUGUUUGAACAACUGAAAGAAUUAGCUUGUCAUUGC